This 468-nucleotide ribosomal RNA is filed under the name uncultured bacterium. RNAcentral's name for it is "partial 16S ribosomal RNA". It matches the Rfam family "Bacterial small subunit ribosomal RNA", at positions 28 to 507 of the family's 1533-position model. The record is from RNAcentral.
GACGAACGCUGGCGGCGUGCUUAACACAUGCAAGUCGAACGGAAAGGCCCUGCUUUUGUGGGGUGCUCGAGUGGCGAACGGGUGAGUAACACGUGAGUAACCUGCCCUUGACUUUGGGAUAACUUCAGGAAACUUGGGCUAAUCCCGGAUAGGAUCUCCUGCUGCUUGGUGGGGGUUGGAAAGUUUCGGCGGUUGGGGAUGGACUCGCGGCUUAUCAGAUUGUUGGUUGGGUAGUGGCUUACCAAGGCUUUGACGGGUAGCCGGCCUGGGAGGGUGGGCGGCCAAGCUGCAACUGGAAUGCGACACAGACUAGAACGGGAGGCGACGGUGGAGAAGAGAGUACUAGGGGAGGGAGCCUAGUGCAGCAACGCCACGUGGGGGGUGACGUCCAGCGGUUUGUGAUGCACUGCCGCCUUUGACGGGGCGUGAAUGACGGUAAUGGGUAAAGAAGCACCGGCUAACUACGUG